Molecule: RNA transcript, 1428 nt
Organism: Molossus molossus (Pallas's mastiff bat)
Lineage: Eukaryota; Metazoa; Chordata; Mammalia; Chiroptera; Molossidae
Gene: YAF2
Gene name: YY1 associated factor 2
Exons: 6
Source: RefSeq, a predicted model, not a curated record
GGAAGCUUCCGCCCGGCUUAUUAUCCUCCUUAUUGACAAACAGAGCGGCCGCGGCGGCGACUCUCGGCGUGCAUCUGUAGCCAAGCCAUGGGAGACAAGAAGAGCCCCACCAGGCCGAAGCGGCAGCCGAAGCCGUCCUCGGAUGAGGGUUACUGGGACUGUAGCGUCUGCACCUUCCGGAACAGCGCCGAGGCCUUCAAGUGCAUGAUGUGCGAUGUGCGGAAGGGCACCUCCACCCGGGACAGCAAGGAAGGGGGGAAGCUGGUGUCCUACUCCACAGCCAGUCUUGGGGUUAGAGGAACCCUGAGAAAUAGAGUAGGUGGUGGCAGCUCAGAAGAGACGAAACAGGCUGAAUACCUGGCACCUGGAAGAAGAAGGAAUAUAGUGCACAGGGAAGUUGGCCCAGGACAGAGAAGUGGGCCUAGUUUAAAAGAGGCUUGAGGCCCACAUGGGGGCCCCUGACAUUUUUUACCAGUACAUCUGAGCCCUUGUAGAUCCAAUUUUUAGUGGAUUACUUGAGGAGGACUCAGAGAAGCAUUGUCAUUUGGAUUGAAACUGAAGAGGCUCUGGGCAACUCACCAGAAGUCUAAGGGACACUCUGUUCCUAAAAAUAUGCAGAGUUCCUGAGCCUCCCUUACCUGUCUGAGGAGCCUUUCCAGCUGCCACACAGUUGUUCAGAGACUCCUUAUUCUAGGAGAAAUUUCAGCCCAAUGAAGCUGCCACUCCAUUGCUGGGUAAAUCCUUCUCUUUCUAUACCUGUAUAUAGGAGGAGUGAAUCAUUGCACCCUUUGUGGUUCAGCUAAUCAAGCAAAUCACAGCAUUUUCCAUAAAUCUGUAUUUGGUCUGUAAAGUGAUAGUCAUCUGUGCAGUACAUUGCAUUUGAUGUGGAGUACUCAUGAUUCCGAUUUUAUGAGUGCUGACUAGCAGAGUUAUUACUUAGAAUAUAGGCAAUCAUUUGAAAAUUGUCACUGUUGACCAGACUAUAUUGAAAUUUAUUAUGUUAGAAAAAUUUGCCAUUGUUUUAUAAAAGUUUUACAUGGAAGGUGUGUGCUUACUUUGAAAUGGUUAUUAAGAACUGAUUUGAAAUCUAAUGCAGGACUUAGACUCUGGUCAAAUUAAUUUUAAUAUUAUAAUCAAAAGAUGAGAAAAAAACAUCAAUUAAAGAGUAAAAGUUAGGCUUCCUUAUUAUGUUGACAUAAUUGUUGGCAUUUUUACAUAUUAACUUGGAUACUUACUAUAAUUAGUGUAUAAAAGACUGUACAUAAUGCUCCUGACAUUUUGGACUAGGAUCAGAAAAAUGUUAAGAACAGAUGAUUUUAACUGUCUACAAAAGUAUAUGCUUUUUUGUUAAUACUCACCUGAGGAUAUUCUUCCAUCAGUUUUUUUUUUUUUAGAUAGAGUGGAAGGGAGGGACGUGGGGGGGGGUGG